CCAAUAGCGUAUAUUAAAGUUGUUGCAGUUAAAAAGCUCGUAGUUGAAUUUCGGGAUCAAUAUGUUGGUCGUGCCUUGGUACGUACUGGCAUUAUCAAUUCCUACCUUCUGAAGAACCUUGAUGUCAUUAAUUUGGUGUCUUGGGGAAUCAGGACUGUUACUUUGAAAAAAUUAGAGUGUUUAAAGCAGGCUCGCGCUUGAAUACAUUAGCAUGGAAUAAUGAAAUAGGACGUUUGAUUCUAUUUUGUUGGUUUCUAGGAUCGACGUAAUGAUUAAUAGGGAUAGUUGGGGGCAUUAGUAUUCAAUUGUCAGAGGUGAAAUUCUUGGAUUUAUUGAAGACUAACUACUGCGAAAGCAUUUGCCAAGGAUGUUUUCAUUAAUCAAGAACGAAAGUUAGGGGAUCGAAGACGAUCAGAUACCGUCGUAGUCUUAACCAUAAACUAUGCCGACUAGGGAUCGGAUGAUGUUAAUUUUUUAAUGACUCAUUCGGCGCCUUACG
Molecule: ribosomal RNA, 499 nt
Filed under: uncultured Glomus
Lineage: Eukaryota; Fungi; Glomeromycota; Glomeromycetes; Glomerales; Glomeraceae
Description: SSU rRNA
Rfam family: Eukaryotic small subunit ribosomal RNA
Source: RNAcentral